AUUGAACGCUGGCGGCAGGCUUAACACAUGCAAGUCGAACGGUAACAUAAGAAAAGCUUGCUUUUUUUGAUGACGAGUGGCGGACGGGUGAGUAAUGCUUGGGAAUCUGCCUUAUGGAGGGGGAUAACUACGGGAAACUGUAGCUAAUACCGCAUAAUAUCUACGGAUUAAAGUGUGGGAUCUUCGGACCACAUGCCAUAAGAUGAGCCCAAGUGAGAUUAGGUAGUUGGUGAGGUAAAGGCUCACCAAGCUGACGAUCUCUAGCUGGUUUGAGAGGAUGACCAGCCACACUGGGACUGAGACACGGCCCAGACUCCUACGGGAGGCAGCAGUGGGGAAUAUUGCACAAUGGGCGCAAGCCUGAUGCAGCCAUGCCGCGUGAAUGAAGAAGGCUUUCGGGUUGUAAAGUUCUUUCAUUAGUGAGAAAGGUAUAAAUGUUAAUAGCAUUUGUAAUUGAUGUUAGCUAAAGAAGAAGCACCGGCUAACUCCGUGCCAGCAGCCGCGGUAAUACGGAGGGUGCGAGCGUUAAUCGGAAUAACUGGGCGUAAAGGGCAUGCAGGCGGUUACUUAAGUCAGAUGUGAAAGCCCCGAGCUUAACUUGGGAAUUGCAUUUGAAACUGGGUGACUAGAGUCCUCUAGGGAGGGGUAGAAUUCCACGUGUAGCGGUGAAAUGCGUAGAGAUGUGGAGGAAUACCGAAGGCGAAGGCAGCCCCUUGGAGAGAGACUGACGCUCAUAUGCGAAAGCGUGGGUAGCAAACAGG
This 761-nucleotide ribosomal RNA is filed under the name uncultured bacterium. RNAcentral's name for it is "bacterial SSU rRNA". It matches the Rfam family "Bacterial small subunit ribosomal RNA", at positions 28 to 776 of the family's 1533-position model. The record is from RNAcentral.